RNAcentral lists this long non-coding RNA (784 nucleotides) under Homo sapiens (human). Its description in RNAcentral is "HSALNT0031256". The record is from RNAcentral. Lineage: Eukaryota; Metazoa; Chordata; Mammalia; Primates; Hominidae.
CUAAAAAUCAACAGUCAGGUUCAGGCCAAUUGACAGAUACUGGGAUCAUGCUGAAAUCUUAAGGACUCUGAAAAGUUCAAGAUCUUAAACUUCCUCCAGCUCAGAAAAACAAACACCAGCAGUGGCAGACCACACUCAAGGAUUACACAGAGAUAGACAAGGCCUUGAGAGGAGCAGGAAAAGUCAAAUAGACCAUCUGUUAUGCUGGCAGGAUUAGGGUAUUCUUUCCUCUUUAUUAUUAGAAUUUUGUUAUAACAUUUUCAGGCCAUCAAUUUAAAAAUAUGUCCUUUAAAACUUUUUUUUUUUUUUGAGACAGGGUCUCACUCUGCCACCCAGGCUGGAGUGCAGGAGCGUGAUCUUGGCUCAUUGUAGCCUCAACUUCCCAAGCUCAGUUGAUUCUCCCACUUCAGCCCCCCAAGUAGCUGGGACCAUAGGCAUGUACUGCCACAUCCAGCUAAUUUUUUGCAAUUUUUUAGUAGAGACAGGUUUUCCCUAUAUUGCCUAGGCUGGUCUCGAAUUCCUGGGCUCAAGUAAUCCACCUGCCUCAGCCUCCCAAAGCACUGGGAUUACAGGUGUGAGCCACUGCACCCAGCCUUAAAAACAAAGGAUAACCGAGUAUAAUGCGUGAGGCUAACUGGCCCAAGACAAAAGCUGCAACAAAUGAUUCAAUGUUUGAAUGUGUUGAUUUAAAAAAGGUCUUGUUAUAGUCAAGAAACCUUAGCUAUUUUCUGGAUUCUGCUACUAUGACUGUGUAUGUGUACCUGUGUGUCUAUUUGUAUGUGUG